RNAcentral lists this long non-coding RNA (244 nucleotides) under Elaeis guineensis (African oil palm). RNAcentral describes it as "long non-coding RNA (EGUI_LNC003060)". Lineage: Eukaryota; Viridiplantae; Streptophyta; Magnoliopsida; Arecales; Arecaceae. The record is from RNAcentral.
AGGUGUGAUCGAUCUAAGGUGCGAUCGGAUGGUCGAGAAACUAUAGGAGUCUGAUCAGGAGUCUAAUUCCGAUACAACUUGAGUUUUAUGGCCUUUAAGAGGCUCUAUGGGUGAACAGAGAGCGCGAUAGAGAGCCAUGAGCGGAGGCAUCAAUGCGAGGGAGGCUCGUGCAGCCAUUGGGAGGAGUCCGACAGAGCUUCGAGUGUGCUUAGUGGGCAGAGUAGAUCCUGCAGAGCACUGACAA